RNAcentral lists this ribosomal RNA (297 nucleotides) under uncultured eukaryote. RNAcentral's name for it is "partial 18S ribosomal RNA". It matches the Rfam family "Eukaryotic small subunit ribosomal RNA", at positions 1470 to 1796 of the family's 1831-position model. The record is from RNAcentral.
CCCUUAGACGCUCUAGGCGGCACGCGCGCUACAAUGGGUGGUAGAACGUGUAACUGCUCCCGAAAGGGAGGGUGAACCACGAAUACUUACCCGUGAAUGGGAUAGUUUGUUGCAAUUUUCGGACUUGAACUAGGAAUCCCUUGUAAGAAUGCUCAAGAAUAGCGUGCUGAAUACGUCCCUGCCGUUUGUACACACCGCCCGUCGUUUCUUCCGACUGAUACUCAUUGUGAGUUGCAAGGAUUCUUAUUGAAAAAUUGCUGCGAAUGCUUUGUAUUGGAGGAAAAAAAAGGCGGAACA